UAAACGACUCUCGGCAACGGAUAUCUCGGCUCACGCAUCGAUUAARAACGUAGCAAAAUGCGAUACUUGGUGUGAAUUGCAGAAUCCCGUGAACCAUCGAGUUUUUGAACGCAAGUUGCGCCCGAUGCCMCCUGGUUGAGGGCACGUCUGCCUGGGCGUCACGC
RNAcentral lists this ribosomal RNA (164 nucleotides) under Brickellia brandegei. Its description in RNAcentral is "5.8S ribosomal RNA". It matches the Rfam family "5.8S ribosomal RNA". From Rfam's summary of the family: 5.8S ribosomal RNA (5.8S rRNA) is a component of the large subunit of the eukaryotic ribosome. Lineage: Eukaryota; Viridiplantae; Streptophyta; Magnoliopsida; Asterales; Asteraceae. The record is from RNAcentral.